ACAUACGAUCAUAGGACUAUGAAAACAGAGCUUCCCGUCCGCUCAGCUGUACUUAAGCAUAGUACCGGCGGAUUAGUAGUUAGGUGGGUGACCACUAGCGAAUACCUGCUGUUGUAUGUUU
Molecule: ribosomal RNA, 121 nt
Filed under: Periconia digitata
Lineage: Eukaryota; Fungi; Ascomycota; Dothideomycetes; Pleosporales; Periconiaceae
Source: RNAcentral